CACGGAUCCAGAGUUUGAUUCUGGCUCAGGAUGAACGCUAGCUACAGGCUUAACACAUGCAAGUCGAGCGGAACACCUUCGGGUGUUUAGCGGCAGACGGGUGAGUAACACGUAUCCAACCUUUCCCUUACUCGGGUAUAGCCUCGGGAAACUGAGAGUAAUCCCCGAUGUUGUGUACGAAUAGCAUUUUUUGCACACUAAAGAUUUAUCGGUAAGGGGUGGGGAUGCGUUCCAUUAGGUAGUAGGCGGGGCAACGGCCCACCUAGCCGAUGAUGGAUAGGGGUUCUGAGAGGAAGGUCCCCCACAUUGGAACUGCGACACGGUCCAAACUCCUACGGGAGGCAGCAGUGAGGAAUAUUGGUCAAUGGUCGGAAGACUGAACCAGCCAAGUAGCGUGCAGGAUGACGGCCCUAUGGGUUGUAAACUGCUUUUGUGCGGGAAUAACGUUGUGCUCGUGAGCGCAAGUGCAUGUACCGUACGAAUAAGGAUCGGCUAACUCCGUGCCAGCAGCCGCGGUAAUACGGAGGAUCCGAGCGUUAUCCGGAUUUAUUGGGUUUAAAGGGAGCGUAGGCGGAGGAUCAAGUCAGCUGUGAAAUGUAGGCGCUUAACGUCUGCACUGCAGUUGAAACUGGUUCCCUUGAGUGCGUAAGGGGCAGGCGGAAUUCGUCGUGUAGCGGUGAAAUGCUUAGAUAUGACGAAGAACUCCGAUCGCGAAGGCAGCUUGCCGGGCCGCAACUGACGCUGAAGCUCGAAGGUGCGGGUAUCGAACAGGAUUAGAUACCCUGGUAGUCCGCACAGUAAACGAUGGAUACUCGCUGUCGGCGAUAUACGGUCGGUGGCCAAGCGAAAGCGUUAAGUAUCCCACCUGGGGAGUACGCCGGCAACGGUGAAACUCAAAGGAAUUGACGGGGGCCCGCACAAGCGGAGGAACAUGUGGUUUAAUUCGAUGAUACGCGAGGAACCUUACCCGGGCUUGAAUUGCUGGUGACGGUUACUGGAGACAGUUUCCUUCCUUCGGGACGCCAGUGAAGGUGCUGCAUGGUUGUCGUCAGCUCGUGCCGUAAGGUGUCGGCUCAAGUGCCAUAACGAGCGCAACCCUUGCCGUUAGUUGCCAUCAGGUUAAGCUGGGCACUCUAUCGGGACUGCCAUCGUAAGAUGUGAGGAAGGUGGGGAUGACGUCAAAUCAGCACGGCCCUUAUGUCUGGGGCUACACACGUGUUACAAUGGGGGGUACAGAGGGAAGCCACCUGGCGACAGGGCGCGGAUCCCGAAAUCCCUUCUCAGUUCGGAUCGGAGUCUGGAACCCGACUCCGUGAAGCUGGAUUCGCUAGUAAUCGCGCAUCAGCCAUGGCGCGGUGAAUACGUUCCCGGGCCUUGUACACACCGCCCGUCAAGCCAUGAAAGCCGGGGGCGCCUGAAGUCCGUAACCGCGAGGAUCGGCCUAGGGCGAACCUGGUAAUUGGGGCUAAGUCGUAACAAGGUAGCCGUAAGCUUCAC
RNAcentral lists this ribosomal RNA (1497 nucleotides) under uncultured bacterium. RNAcentral's name for it is "bacterial SSU rRNA". It matches the Rfam family "Bacterial small subunit ribosomal RNA". The record is from RNAcentral.